AUGGCUUGCUUCCUCAUCCGCUUCCGCCUGUUAACCGCCUUGGUCUUCCAAGCAUUGGCGCUGGUGUUCUUGAGCCAACUUCUUAUAGUGAUGUUAUUCAUACCAAAUGGCAUCUUGCGAUGGCAGAGAAGAUUGUUGAUCUUGAGCGCAUCGGCACAUGCGAUAUUGUUUCUCUUCCUCCUCGUGUUCGUCCCAUCACUUGGUGGGAAUGUUAAGACUCACUUUGACUUUUUAUAUGUUCCUUCUUUUGCUCAUGUUCCUCGACUUUACUACACUCAUGGUCCGCAUGUUGUGGAUUCUUCUGAUAAGCCAUCUCCCUCGACUAUUAUAUCUUCUUUCCUUGGAAACGCACAGCCUACAGCUUAG
This 366-nucleotide ribosomal RNA is filed under the name Triticum aestivum (bread wheat). RNAcentral describes it as "partial small subunit ribosomal RNA". Lineage: Eukaryota; Viridiplantae; Streptophyta; Magnoliopsida; Poales; Poaceae. The record is from RNAcentral.